CCUACGGGAGGCAGCAGUGAGGAAUAUUGGUCAAUGGACGAGAGUCUGAACCAGCCAAGUAGCGUGAAGGAUGACUACCCUAUGGGUUGUAAACUUCUUUUAUAUGGGAAUAAAACGUUCCACGUGUGGGAUUUUGUAUGUACCAUAUGAAUAAGGAUCGGCUAACUCCGUGCCAGCAGCCGCGGUAAUACGGAGGAUCCGAGCGUUAUCCGGAUUUAUUGGGUUUAAGGGGAGCGUAGGUGGAUUGUUAAGUCAGUUGUGAAAGUUUGCGGCUCAACCGUAAAAUUGCAGUUGAAACUGGCAGUCUUGAGUACAGUAGAGGUGGGCGGAAUUCGUGGUGUAGCGGUGAAAUGCUUAGAUAUCACGAAGAACUCCGAUUGCGAAGGCAGUUCACUGGACUGCAACUGACACUGAGGCUCGAAAGUGUGGGUAUCAAACAGGAUUAGAUACCCUAGUAGUC
RNAcentral lists this ribosomal RNA (460 nucleotides) under uncultured bacterium. RNAcentral's name for it is "partial 16S ribosomal RNA". It matches the Rfam family "Bacterial small subunit ribosomal RNA", at positions 338 to 795 of the family's 1533-position model. The record is from RNAcentral.